CCAGAGCUUCUCCGGGAAGGACGUCGCUGGACUUCCUCGCUCCAAAAGGUAAGCCUGGGGCCUUUGCCCCCCCCCCCCCCGCGACAGGGUUCCCAAGGGAUAGUAAUGGAUUUCAGGAUACCCUUUUAAAAGGGGAUCCUUUACCCUAGGCAGGCCCUGAUGCCCUGGGGUGUUGGGUGGUGGCAUGGGGGCCCCUCUGGCUGCCCCCCAUGCCUGCGGGGGCGUGUGGGCCGCGGGGGGGAGGCAACGCCACACGCGACCCUUCCCUUCCCCCGCCAGGCCUGGCGGCCCUGGGGUGCGGCGGGUGGUGGCGGGGGGGUCCCCAGUCACCCCCCAGGGCCUCGGAGGCCUCCAAGUGGCUUUUUUAGGCCGCAGGGAGGCCCGCCGCGUUUUGGGAGGCCUUAUUAAAAAAGCAACGAAGUACCUGUUGGGACAGAACAAUUAGACCUGUGAGUUUUAUUCAUGAGCUGCUCUGCACCCAGUCUCUUUAGGGGAUUUGAUAAUAUUUAUUGUUAUUAUGAACUGCCUUCAUCCUAAGUCUCCAUGGUAGGUUUAGUAAAUGGUGCUGAAAAGCAACACAGUGGCUUAUAUUACAGACUAUAGGAGAAACACCAAACCCAGACUCCAUCUCCCUUGGGUCUAUUCCUAGCUUCUAAAUUAGCGAACACACAAAACAAUCUAUAAAGCUUUUGAGCCAAUGUCCCUGUGUGUUCAUUUGUUGCCAAAUAUAGACAGGCUUGCAAAGAUUAGACAUGACUGGCUAAACAUAGAUCAAACAAACAUUUCCUCUCCUUUUCUCUACUCUACAUCUAUAUAACAUGAAUGCAUUGUCUAGUAACCUGAAGACCUAGUAACCUGACUACCCGCUCCCCUUUUUGGUGAUAAUAAUUGGAUGUGUUUGAAGGAAAGAGCUAUUGUUGAUUUUGCUUCUGUACUCUGUUUUAAAUAAACUCCAACUUUCCUAUUUGGAAAUCAGGAAAAGCCAUCCAGCACUUGCUCACAUUUGCUUUGUUAGUAAUAAGGGGAAGGGUUGUAGCUCAGUAACAGAGUGCCUGGUCCUAAAUUCAGUCUGCAGCAUCUCCAGGUAGGGCUGUAAAUGUCUAAAACCCCAUGAGCUGCUGCCGUUCAGUGUAGACAAUGAAGCUCUAGAUGGGCCAGUAGUCUGACUCAGUAUAAGGCAGCUUCCUAUGUUGCUAAGAGAGAGGCAUGAAUGUAUGCACUGAAUCCAAAUAGGACAUGCAGGAGGACUAUGAGAAUAAACAGCACAACAGCUUUGCUUUUUUGAUGCUUGCUCAACCGAAGCGUUGUGUUUUCCCUUGCCAAGGUACAGCAAUCUGCAUAUUUCUAAUUCUGAAUUGCUGGCCUUUGUUUCUUUACCUGCCUUGUUUCCUAAUGGCCGAUUCCUGUAGAGAGCUACUUUAAUAAUGACUGGGAAGGUUACUGUAUGGUGUGUCAUUUGUUUGAGUGUUUGCACUGUCUGUAUUUAAGAUGCUGAAUACAUUUGCCAUUGUUUUUGCUUCUGCUUUCCAACUAGCAUGACAUACCUAGGUUUGAUGAAGACAAUUCAUUCUCCUGCCAGAAUGCUGCAGCAAGCUUGAGAUUUCCAGGAUGUUGGAGCAGGAGAUAAGAAGGCUAAAACAACAGAACAACAGCACAAUAGCAGAGAAGAAUUGCUGGUCAAGCGAAAUAAAUCAAUAAAGCCACAAAUUCCAAAGGG
Non-coding RNA from Podarcis lilfordi (Lilford's wall lizard), 1717 nucleotides. Lineage: Eukaryota; Metazoa; Chordata; Lepidosauria; Squamata; Lacertidae. The record is from the annotation of a GenBank genome assembly.